ACGCUCGACACCUAGGAGGCAGCAGUGGGGAAUAUUGCACAAUGGGGGAAACCCUGAUGCAGCGACGCCGCGUGAGCGAAGAAGUAUUUCGGUAUGUAAAGCUCUAUCAGCAGGGAAGAAACUGACGGUACCUGACUAAGAAGCACCGGCUAAAUACGUGCCUGCAGCCGCGGUAAUCUGAGCGGGCUGGCAAGGC
This 196-nucleotide ribosomal RNA is filed under the name uncultured bacterium. RNAcentral's name for it is "partial 16S ribosomal RNA". It matches the Rfam family "Bacterial small subunit ribosomal RNA", at positions 328 to 539 of the family's 1533-position model. The record is from RNAcentral.